AGUACUCCCUCCGUCCCGUUAAUGAAGUCCCCUUUCUUUUGGACACGGGUAUUUAGGAGACUAAAAUUAAGAGUUAAAUCAAGUCCCCUUAUUCCCACUUAAUUACUCCCUGCCGCACCACCGCCUGUGCACCACCACAAUUUCUGAACCACCGCACCACCGCCUGUGCACCACCGGACCACCGCACCACCGCCUGUGCACCACCGCACCACCGCCAGAACAGUGAACGGAAAUCAAAAAACGGAGGCGCCUUGAAAUCAAAAAACGGAAAUCACCAAAACACUGGAAAUCAAAAAACGGAAAUCACCAAAACACUGGGCCUUAAUUUCAAUUUCUGAGCCGGAACACCAAAACACCACCACAGAGAAAUCAAAAAAUG
Molecule: long non-coding RNA, 379 nt
Filed under: Salvia miltiorrhiza (redroot sage)
Lineage: Eukaryota; Viridiplantae; Streptophyta; Magnoliopsida; Lamiales; Lamiaceae
Description: long non-coding RNA (SMIL_LNC005223)
Source: RNAcentral